RNAcentral lists this ribosomal RNA (253 nucleotides) under uncultured bacterium. RNAcentral's name for it is "partial 16S ribosomal RNA". It matches the Rfam family "Bacterial small subunit ribosomal RNA", at positions 524 to 776 of the family's 1533-position model. The record is from RNAcentral.
UACGGAGGGUGCAAGCGUUAUCCGGAUUUACUGGGUUUAAAGGGUGCGUAGGCGGGCAUGUAAGUCAGUGGUGAAAUACCGGAGCUUAACUUCGGAACUGCCAUUGAUACUAUAUGUCUUGAAUAUUGUGGAGGUAAGCGGAAUAUGUCAUGUAGCGGUGAAAUGCAUAGAUAUAACAUAGAACACCGAUUGCGGAGGCAGCUUGCUACACAAAUAUUGACGCUGAGGCACGAAAGCGUGGGGAUAAAACAGG